AGGUUGUUCUUCAAGGCUUCAAGUUUUAAAACCAAGAUUAUUCUGGGAAGUUCAUGUUCAUGGAGCUUUUAUGAGAGUCAAAACACAUCCUGUUCCACAGGAAAUCUUCACUAAAGCUCGCUAAACCCACAAAUAUUUGCUGCCGGUGACUUUUGAUUGUAAUUUUUGAGGAAACUGGAAAAAGAGCCCUAGGAUAUGUAAAGAUUGCCUUGGUGUAAAGUGGAUUCUGAUGACAGGAAUGAGUGUCAUGGUGCAAGCCAUUCCCCACCCUCUUAUCCUCAAACCUCACUCUGCUAGAACUGGUGGCAGGGCUUUGAUCACCUGCAGGCUGUGCAAUGGGCAAGAAGACGUCUAUGCCAGGCAUAGUUCUAAGAACCAGGAAGAAAGGAAUGUAAGACAGCAUUUACAUUCCUGUAAGAGAAACAGAUACUAAGCAGACAUAAAUAAUAAAUGUGAUCUAAUGUUCUGUUAUCCCCAUUGUUAUGAAGAAAAAUCAGGCAGGAGAAAAAAAUGCAGAAGAGAGUAGAAAUUGAUGGGGUGAGAGUCAGUGUCUCUCUGAGGAAGAAAGCCUUUAGGCAUGGACAGUAAGGUCCAAGUUCCUGCAAUGGAAACUACCUGAUGUUUUUAAGAGAAAGAUCUGUAAGACAGUAUGCUGAGGUGAGGGACAAGGGGAAGGAUAGUGGGAGGUGAAACCAGACUGGAAGUCAAAGGCCAGGUCACCUAGGGCCCAGGAGGCAGAGACUGGCCAUUGGGUCUUAUUCUGAAAGGCAUUGCAGAGAUGAGUGAUAGGAUUUGAUUUACUGUCCUAAAAGAGCACUCUAGUGUUGUGUGGAGAAGGGGUUAUAACAGACAUGCAUAGAAGCAGAAGAAUCAGAUAAAAGGAUAAAAUGAUGGGGUUUAGUAUGGAUUAGGUUGUGCAUAGAGGUGAUAUGGUGGAAGGGGGUACAUUUUGAAGGAGAAACUGACAUGAUUUGUAGAUAAAUUAGGUAUGAGAUAUGGGAGAAAGAAAAUAAUAAAAAUGACACAUAGGUUUCUUUGCUUUAUUCUUUUAAAGAAUAAUUUAUGGUUGUAAUUACAAUUAUAGAAGUGACACAUGUUCACUAUGGAACAGUUUAAAACUGCAGGGCUAGGGCAGAGAGUAGCUUAGUGGUACAGCACUUGUUCAGCAUGCAUGAGGUCCUGGGUUCAAUUCCCAGUACCCAAAAUGAAGAAAAGAGAAGAAAAGAAAAUUUAAAGCAUGCAAAGAAAAAAAAUUAAAGAGAAAAAUAAACUAUAGUACUCAUAAUCCCAGUAUGUAGAGGUACUUUAGUUUACAACAUUACAUGUGUGUAUGUGUAUAUGUGUGUGUAUGCAUAAAUAUAUUUGAAUAAAUGGAUACUCCCAAUUUUCUAACUAAUGUAAUGUAAUAGAAAAUAAAAAUAACAUUGACUAUAUUAUUUUAUAAACUGUUUUUGUAAAGCAUUUUAUUUUUAACAAAUUGUAGACUUAAAAAAAUUAAAGCUCAUUGCAGAAAUACUAGAGGUAGUAUGUACUUCUCACCUAUCUUCCCUGAACAUCACCAUCUUAUGUAAUAUAAUUAUCAAAACUAGGAAGGUAAUGUUCACACAGUCUUAUAAACCAAACUCCAAAUGUUACUCAAAUUUUAUUAAGUCUUUUACAUUAAUUCCCCUUUUCUGUUUCAGGCUCCCACAUUCCAUUCCAUUGUUAUUUUUUCUUAAACUUCCCUAAAUAUGAGAGUUCUUCAGUCUUUCUUUAUCUUUUGUAACUGUGGCACUUAAAAAAUACUGUUAAAUGAAGUAGAGUAUAUGCAUGAAUGAAAU
Ictidomys tridecemlineatus (thirteen-lined ground squirrel) is the source of this 1820-nucleotide non-coding RNA. NCBI's taxonomy places the organism in Eukaryota, Metazoa, Chordata, Mammalia, Rodentia, Sciuridae. The record is from RefSeq and is a predicted model, not a curated record.